Non-coding RNA from Schistocerca nitens (vagrant locust), 72 nucleotides. The record is from the annotation of a RefSeq genome assembly. NCBI's taxonomy places the organism in Eukaryota, Metazoa, Arthropoda, Insecta, Orthoptera, Acrididae.
ACCAGGGUGGUGUAGUGGCUAACGCAUCUGCCUACUGAGUAGGGGACCUGGGUUCGAGUCCCGGCCUUGGUU